GCACUGCUGAGGAGUCCCAUAAAAAGGACGAAACGGCCGUCCAGUGC
Molecule: non-coding RNA, 47 nt
Organism: Schistosoma rodhaini
Lineage: Eukaryota; Metazoa; Platyhelminthes; Trematoda; Strigeidida; Schistosomatidae
Source: Rfam